This 540-nucleotide ribosomal RNA is filed under the name uncultured Glomeraceae. RNAcentral's name for it is "SSU rRNA". It matches the Rfam family "Eukaryotic small subunit ribosomal RNA", at positions 548 to 1090 of the family's 1831-position model. Lineage: Eukaryota; Fungi; Glomeromycota; Glomeromycetes; Glomerales; Glomeraceae. The record is from RNAcentral.
UUGGAGGGCAAGUCUGGUGCCAGCAGCCGCGGUAAUUCCAGCUCCAAUAGCGUAUAUUAAAGUUGUUGCAGUUAAAAAGCUCGUAGUUGAAUUUCGAGAUCAAAUUGUUGGUCGUGCCUCGGUACGUACUGGCAUUAUUGAUUUCUCCUUUCUGAAGAACCUUGAUGUCAUUAAUUUGGUGUCUUGGGGAAUCAGGACCGUUACUUUGAAAAAAUUAGAGUGUUUAAAGCAGGCUUACGCUUGAAUACAUUAGCAUGGAAUAAUGAAAUAGGACGUUUGAUUCUACUUUGUUGGUUUCUAGGAUCGACGUAAUGAUUAAUAGGGAUAGUUGGGGGCAUUAGUAUUCAAUUGUCAGAGGUGAAAUUCUUGGAUUUAUUGAAGACUAACUACUGCGAAAGCAUUUGCCAAGGAUGUUUUCAUUAAUCAAGAACGAAAGUUAGGGGAUCGAAGACGAUCAGAUACCGUCGUAGUCUUAACCAUAAACUAUGCCGACUAGGGAUCGGAUGAUGUUAAUUUUUUAAUGACUCAUUCGGCGCUUAC